This 433-nucleotide ribosomal RNA is filed under the name uncultured bacterium. Its description in RNAcentral is "partial 16S ribosomal RNA". It matches the Rfam family "Bacterial small subunit ribosomal RNA", at positions 29 to 507 of the family's 1533-position model. The record is from RNAcentral.
AACGAACGCUGGCGGCAUGCCUAACACAUGCAAGUCGAGCGAGACCUUCGGGUCUAGUGGCGCACGGGUGCGUAACGCGUGGGAACCUGCCUUUAGGUUCGGAAUAACUCAGAGAAAUUUGAGCUAAUACCGGAUGAUGUCUUCGGACCAAAGAUUUAUCGCCUUUAGAUGGGCCCGCGUUGGAUUAGCUAGUUGGUGGGGUAAAGGCCUACCAAGGCGACGAUCCACAGCUGGUCUGAGAGGAUGAUCAGCCACACUGGGACUGAGACACGGCCCAGACUCCUACGGGAGGCAGCAGUGGGGAAUAUUGGACAAUGGGCGAAAGCCUGAUCCAGCAAUGCCGCGUGAGUGAUGAAGGCCUUAGGGUUGUAAAGCUCUUUUACCCGAGAUGAUAAUGACAGUAUCGGGAGAAUAAGCUCCGGCUAACUCCGUG